GAAUUCUCAAUUUAUAUCUGGGUCCAGCAACAAAAAACCCCGACUAUCGGGGUUUUUUGUUAUCUGAAUUUCAUUCGAUAAAUUCAGGUGCUUGCUUGGAAUUUAAAUUGGGCUCUAUGCCCUUUUUUU
RNAcentral lists this small RNA (129 nucleotides) under Vibrio cincinnatiensis DSM 19608. RNAcentral describes it as "Enterobacteria rnk leader". It matches the Rfam family "Gammaprotebacteria rimP leader". The record is from RNAcentral. Lineage: Bacteria; Pseudomonadati; Pseudomonadota; Gammaproteobacteria; Vibrionales; Vibrionaceae.